This 479-nucleotide ribosomal RNA is filed under the name Amphiprion melanopus (fire clownfish). Its description in RNAcentral is "partial small subunit ribosomal RNA". It matches the Rfam family "Bacterial small subunit ribosomal RNA", at positions 788 to 1491 of the family's 1533-position model. Lineage: Eukaryota; Metazoa; Chordata; Actinopteri; Pomacentridae. The record is from RNAcentral.
CACUAUGCUCAGCCCUAAAAUUUGAUAGGCCAACUACGCCCCCUAUCCGCCCGGGUACUACGAGCAUCAGCUUAAAACCCAAAGGACUUGGCGGUGCUUCACAUCCGUCUAGAGGAGCCUGUUCUAGAACCGAUAACCCCCGUUAAACCUCACCCUCCCUUGUUAAUACCGCCUAUAUACCGCCGUCGUCAGCCUACCCUGUGAAGGACUAGAAGUGAGCAAGAUUGGUAAGACCCAAAACGUCAGGUCGAGGUGUAGUGUAUGAGAGGGGAAGAAAUGGGCUACAUUUCCUAAAUCAGGAAAUACGAAUAAUGAACUGAAAUAAGCAUUAGAAGGUGGAUUUAGCAGUAAGCAGUAAAACAGAGUGUUCUGCUGAAAUUUGGCAAUAAAGCACGCACAUAUCGCCCGUCACUCUCCCCGAGCUAAUACAAAAGCAAAUACCUAAAAAACUACAUCUGCAAAGGGGAGGCAAGUCGUAA